RNAcentral lists this ribosomal RNA (253 nucleotides) under uncultured bacterium. RNAcentral's name for it is "partial 16S ribosomal RNA". It matches the Rfam family "Bacterial small subunit ribosomal RNA", at positions 524 to 776 of the family's 1533-position model. The record is from RNAcentral.
UACGGAGGGUGCAAGCGUUGUUCGGAUUUAUUGGGUUUAAAGGGUGCGUAGGCGGCCUUAUAAGUCAGUGGUGAAAGCCUGCAGCUCAACUGUAGGACUGCCAUUGAAACUGUAAGGCUUGAGUAUUGAUGAGGUAGGCGGAAUUGAUAGUGUAGCGGUGAAAUGCAUAGAUAUUAUCAAGAACACCGAUUGCGAAGGCAGCUUACUAAGGAAUAACUGACGCUGAGGCACGAAAGCGUGGGGAUCAAACAGG